UCCUACGGGGGGCAGCAGUAGGGAAUCUUCCACAAUGGGCGAAAGCCUGAUGGAGCAACGCCGCGGGGGUGAAUAAGGUCUUCGGAUCGUAAAACCCUGUUGUUAGAGAAGAAAGUGCGUGAGAGUAACUGUUCACGUUUCGACGGUAUCUAACCAGAAAGCCACGGCUAACUACGUGCCAGCAGCCGCGGUAAUACGUAGGUGGCAAGCGUUAUCCGGAUUUAUCGGGCGUAAAGGGAACGCAGGCGGUCUUUUAAGUCUGAUGUGAAAGACUUCGGCUUAACCUGAGGAGUGCAUUUGAAACU
RNAcentral lists this ribosomal RNA (305 nucleotides) under uncultured bacterium. RNAcentral's name for it is "bacterial SSU rRNA". It matches the Rfam family "Bacterial small subunit ribosomal RNA", at positions 337 to 634 of the family's 1533-position model. The record is from RNAcentral.